This 891-nucleotide ribosomal RNA is filed under the name uncultured bacterium. RNAcentral describes it as "bacterial SSU rRNA". It matches the Rfam family "Bacterial small subunit ribosomal RNA", at positions 492 to 1396 of the family's 1533-position model. The record is from RNAcentral.
CCCGGCUAACUACGUGCCAGCAGCCGCGGUAAUACGUAGGGGGCGAGCGUUUCCGGAAUGACUGGGCGUAAAGGGCGUGUAGGCGGCGCUAUAAGUCUGGAGUGAAAGUCCGCUUUCAAGGUGGGAAUAGCUUUGGAUACUGUAGAGCUUGAGUGCGGAAGAGGUAAGUGGAUUCCCAGUGUAGCGGUGAAAUGCGUAGAGAUUGGGAGGAACACCAGUGGCGAAGGCGACUACUGGGCCGUAACUGACGCUGAGGCGCGAAAGCGUGGGGAGCGAACAGGAUUAGAUACCUGGUAGUCCACGCGGUAAACGAUGAAUGCCAGGUGUUGCGGGUAUCGACCCCUGCAGUGCGGAGUAAACACAAUAAGCAUUCCGCCUGGGGAGUACGGCCGCAAGGUUGAAACUCAAAGGAUUGACGGGGGCCCGCACAAGCAGCGGAGCAUGUUGUUUAAUUCGAAGCAACGCGAAGAACUUACCAGGUCUUGACAUCGAGAUAAACCCGUAGAGAUACGGGGUGGCUUCGUCCGAUCGAGACAGGUGGUGCAUGGUUGUCGUCAGCUCGUGUCGUGAGAUGUUGGGUUAAGUCCCGCACGAGCGCAACCCUUAUGGUCAGUUACUAACGCGUAAAGGCGAGGACUCUGACAAGACUGCGGGGACAACUCGGAGGAAGGUGGGGACGACGUCAAAUCAUCAUGCCCCUUAUGACCUGGGUACAAACGUGCUACAAUGGUGACCACAAAGAGAAGCGAGACUGUAAAGUGGAGCGGAUCUAAAAAAGUCAUCCCAGUUCGGAUUGUGGGCUGCAACCCGCCCACAUGAAGUUGGAGUUGCAGUAAUCGCGGAUCAGCAUGCCGCGGUGAAUACGUUCCCGGGCCUUGCACACACCGCCCG